RNAcentral lists this ribosomal RNA (774 nucleotides) under uncultured Neocallimastigales. RNAcentral's name for it is "partial large subunit ribosomal RNA". It matches the Rfam family "Eukaryotic large subunit ribosomal RNA", at positions 18 to 635 of the family's 3401-position model. The record is from RNAcentral. Lineage: Eukaryota; Fungi; Neocallimastigomycota; Neocallimastigomycetes; Neocallimastigales.
UCAGACGAUGCGUCAUGCAUAUCAAUAAGCGGAGGAAAAGAAACUAACAAGGAUUCCCUUAGUAACGGCGAGUGAAGCGGGAAGAGCUCAAAUUUGAAAUCUUCAAGGUUUUACCUUGACGAAUUGUAGUUUAAAGAAGUGUUUUCUGUUGAAGUUUUGGUAAAAGUUCUUUGGAAUAGGACAUCAUAGAGGGUGAGAAUCCCGUAUUUGACCAUUAUUUUCAGCUGUGUGAUACACUUUCAAAGAGUCGGAUUGUUUGGGAAUGCAGUCCAAAAUGGGUGGUAAAUUUCAUCUAAAGCUAAAUAUUGGCGAGAGACCGAUAGCGAACAAGUACUGUGAGGGAAAGAUGAAAAGAACUUUGAAAAGAGAGUUAAACAGUACGUGAAAUUGUCAAAAGGGAAGCGUUUGACACCAGUGUUGUUUUCUCGAAAAUCAAUUAAAAAGAGUUGGAUUUUGUGUUGUAUUGACCUUAACAGCUUGCUUCACUCUUUUCCUGCUUUUUUUAAUGCACUUUUCGUUUAACAAGUCAACAUCAGUUUCUUUUGUUGUAAAAGGGUCAUUGGAAGGUGGCUUUCUCUUCGGAGAAAGUGUUUAUAGCCUUUGAUCUCUGCAAUCGGAGAGACUGAGGUCUGCAGCGUAGAUCCUUCGGGGUUAGAUACAUUUGUGCUAAGUUAUAGCCUUUCAUAGACAACUUGUUGACUAUGAUCAGUCAUGUAACUUACUCGCUUAUGCUAUUUUACCUACGCUUAGGAUGUUGAUAUGCAUGACUGAUAU